UGGGGAUGACAUGGAAUUCUACUGAGAUGGAAGAGAUGAAAGCCUUGAAUGAAGCCAUGCAUCAGAGCUUAUUGUCCCAUCAGCAAGAGCAAAAGAUUAUGGUGACAGCAGCCUUCAUGGAGCCAUCAAAAGAGGAAGAGGAGGAGGAACUAUUGAUGAUGGCACUGGCCAUUAGUGGUAUAGAGAUGUAAGAGGAAACCUGGAAUAAAACCAUGCGCCACGUCUUAUUGGGCCAGCAGCAGAGACAAGAGAACAGCAGCCGCUGCCAUCCUAUGCACCACCGUGCCUUAUUAUUCAACCAGUGCCAAGACCUCCUACGAGGAGCUGAAUCUAUCUAGCAAGAAGUAUAUUAUGGGUGCCGUUAUUGGAUUGUUUUAGUUAACGCUAUAGUACCUUUUUACCAUUUUCCCAAUUGUGUGAUUUUGUAUCGCUUAGAAUUUGUACUGGUGAUCUAUUUCUGUUCUGUAUGUUGUUUGAACUAUUUUGGAAUGAUUCUAGAAAUUA
Daphnia pulicaria is the source of this 504-nucleotide long non-coding RNA. RefSeq lists it as uncharacterized. The transcript is spliced from 2 exons. NCBI's taxonomy places the organism in Eukaryota, Metazoa, Arthropoda, Branchiopoda, Diplostraca, Daphniidae. The record is from RefSeq and is a predicted model, not a curated record.